GGUAGUCUGCAGUGAAGCAACACAAUAUAAUUUUUCAAAAAUGUACCCACAGCCAUGUUUUUUUCAUGACUCUGGGUUGUUUAUUAAAACCAAAUCUGCAAUAAUAAAAAAAAAUAAAAUA
Molecule: small nucleolar RNA, 121 nt
Organism: Carassius carassius (crucian carp)
Lineage: Eukaryota; Metazoa; Chordata; Actinopteri; Cypriniformes; Cyprinidae
Source: RefSeq, a predicted model, not a curated record